AACGAACGCUGGCGGCAGGCCUAACACAUGCAAGUCGAGCGAGGUAGCAAUACCUAGCGGCGGACGGGUGAGUAACGCGUGGGAACGUGCCCCUUGGUACGGAAUAGCCCCGGGAAACUGGGAGUAAUACCGUAUAAGCUCUACGGAGGAAAGAUUUAUCGCCAAGGGAUCGGCCCGCGUUGGAUUAGGUAGUUGGUGGGGUAAUGGCCUACCAAGCCGACGAUCCAUAGCUGGUUUGAGAGGAUGAUCAGCCACACUGGGACUGAGACACGGCCCAGACUCCUACGGGAGGCAGCAGUGGGGAAUCUUAGACAAUGGGGGAAACCCUGAUCUAGCCAUGCCGCGUGAUCGAUGAAGGCCUUAGGGUUGUAAAGAUCUUUCAGUGGGGAAGAUAAUGACUGUACCCACAGAAGAAGCCCCGGCUAACUCCGUG
This 433-nucleotide ribosomal RNA is filed under the name uncultured bacterium. RNAcentral's name for it is "bacterial SSU rRNA". It matches the Rfam family "Bacterial small subunit ribosomal RNA", at positions 29 to 507 of the family's 1533-position model. The record is from RNAcentral.